UUUUUGGUUUCUCGCAAUAGCGUUCGGUUUACUUGGUCAGGUUCGGAAGAAAGCAGCCAGAAUUGAAAUGUUUAUGUGCCGAGUUUUGCUGGAAACGC
The sequence is a non-coding RNA, 98 nucleotides long. It matches the Rfam family "Bacterial small signal recognition particle RNA". Rfam says of the family: The signal recognition particle (SRP) is a universally conserved ribonucleoprotein involved in the co-translational targeting of proteins to membranes. Archaeal SRP consists of a 7S RNA and homologues of the eukaryotic SRP19 and SRP54 proteins. The record is from Rfam.